GAUAUUUAGUUUAUAUGUUAGCUGUUUAUUUGUUAUUUGGAAUAAUCAUCUCUAUCAUGAUAUGUUCUUCGGUACGGUGAUUAAUAAAUAUGAGCUGUUCUUACAAUCCAUACUAAGUUCUCUCUACGUACGAAUUUACUUUCGGCUGGUAGUUAAUCAUUAUUUUACCAUGCUUAAUAUUAUAUUAUACACAUUGAGAUGGUUAUUCCGUGUUUUAUUUGUGUAUAACCUAUUAAUUAAAAACCUUAUAAUCAUUAUAGCAAAAUUACUUGGGUAUAUGAUCUAGUUCAAAGUUAUAUAUAUUCUUGUAACACAUAACAAUAUUUAUUGUACAAUAUAAACAUGUAAGUUUAUCUCUAAUAUUUUGUUCAACGCAGUAACUCAAUUAUUAACUGUAAACUUUCAAGUUCAAGUAUCAAAUAUACGUGAAAGGAAAACAUGCAUCAUUUUAUCAAAUCAAAUUAACAAGAGACAACUUCUUUUUUUUUCACUAAGAACUAUUUCGUCUGGUGAAACUCUUUUAAAAAGCAUAUUGGGAUCGGCCGUCCUCACUAGAGGCGUUGUUGUUCUCGUUUGAAGGUGUAAGAGGGGUCAAGUUCAAACCCAACUUAGUAAGUUGACUCGGUGUGUCCGCAAAAACUCAAAUGAAAGAUUAUAAACUCGCUCUUAUCCGCAGUCGCGACUCUUGUUACAAAGGUGGUGGGCAAAGAUAAAAAUGUCAGAGGGGAAGAAACGAGAUACAUCUACGUUUUGGAGAGACACAAACCGAUGAUUUCCCGAGAUGGGCAAAGGUUUUGACGGAGGCAGAAAAUUUGGAGAUACCUGUUAGUCUUGUCCAGUUAAAAGAAAUAAGAAAUUAAAAUAUUAGAAAUAUGGAGCAAUAGUGUAGUUUUCAAGUUUUAAUUUGAGGAAUGGAUACUUUUAAGUUUUUAUUAGUAUUAGGCUAGUUUAUGUGGAAUCAUAUUUUCAUAACCCCAAACUUACACUAGCCUCUUAGAGAGGGACAGAGAUAAAGAGAUAUAUAAUUUAGAGAAAAUAGGCACAAAAAAUAAACGUGGGUCCCAGCAAUAAAAAGGUUACGCGCGCAUAACAACCGAAAACAAUGAAACUCACGCGCGCAGAUUGGCAAAUAAAUUGGGCCAAAUGAGCAAUAUGGGCCUCAAUUUUCGUAAAAACUAUCUAAGCACACUGGGCUAUUCGCAGAAACUCUAAAGGUACCCAACUCAAUACUACCAAAAUACCCAACCCAAUAGUUUAUGUUAAUAUGGCAUGAAAAAAUGUUAUGCGAUGGGAUUAAUUAGAGAUAAUGAAGAUAAAUUGACAGAAAAUAAGAAACAAAAUACCUAAAUCGGAAAUCUUAGUUUCUAAAUCAGAAACCUUAGUUUCCCUUUCGAGAAGAUGAUGAAAUUGAAAGGAAAAUUAUAAGAUGUAGAAGACGACAUCCGUUAGAAUUUAUGAAAACGAGAGAAGAAACAAUAAACUUGUGACUGAACCAACACAAAGAACUUGAUAGAACCUCACCAAAGUGAAUGAAACCGAUUCUAUCAAGGAGAGAAAUAAAUCUAUAUGAGACUGAACCUGAGGAGUAAUACAACACAAUAAGAGUUUUAUAAUCAAGAGAAGGAUCAGAAUCAGUAAUUAGAUUCAUUAUUAAGAGAGAAAUAACAAGAGAACUAGAAAUUGUUCUUUAGUAGAGAAUGAGAAAAGCAAAUGAAUCACUCUUGAAUUACUUAGGAAAGGAAGAAUCCAAGAGUGUAUUUGGCUGCUAUAAGCAGCCCUAAACGUGUUCUUACUUAGUCUACAUUGUGAAUUUAAGACAAGAAUACAAGAGAAAAAUAAGAGAGAAAAUAUCGUGUAAAAUACUUGUGUAUAUUAAGAAGAUUCUUGUGACCAUAUUACAGACAUAUAUAUAGAGAAUUAAACA
RNAcentral lists this long non-coding RNA (1924 nucleotides) under Eutrema salsugineum. Its description in RNAcentral is "long non-coding RNA (ESAL_LNC000396)". Lineage: Eukaryota; Viridiplantae; Streptophyta; Magnoliopsida; Brassicales; Brassicaceae. The record is from RNAcentral.